CCUUGAGUCCCACUACCAUUUAAGUCUCUGAUUUUUUAAUUCUCUUAGGAUCUUUUCUGAGUGUUAAAAUGACUGAUGUUUCGUCCUGGGUCUGCCAGCUGUACCUCUCACGUUCAUUGAAAAAAUACUUGGAAGUGUCUGGGCCAAAUGAUUGCCUGGGCUUUAUACAGUCAAGUUUUCUGAUGUCACUGGACCAGCGAACAUCUCCCUGUUCUGCAACUCUGCUCUGUAAAAUUCUAUCCUGAUGCUGCUGCCUCUUCCUGCAGACUUCCUGAGUGCCAGGACUGCAUGUCUCCUUGCUGACUUCUCAUCACAAGUCUGUAAAUAUAAACAUUUGUUUUUACAGUCAUCUUUGGUUCAAGACAUUGUCUAAUAGAAAUGUUAUCUAACUUGCCAAAAGUCAUACAACUGUCGGCCUAUUGAGGGCUACAAUCCAACUUUAUACAAGGUCAACACCAGCUCCUAACCAAUAUCAGCCUCCUCAAGCACUCUUUUCUGAUCCUGUUGCAUUGUAACCAUUAACAUUUAUAUCUGGUUUUCUCAUUAGACAGGAAGAUGUUAAAGUCAGAAACUUUAGCUUUAGAAGAUGCUGUAGCUUUAGAAGAUGCUAAAAUUAGAUGAACAGAUUGUUCAUGCUUAAAUAUUUAUUGAGCACCUACUAUGUGGCCAAGUUGUUUUUGGCACUUGGAAAUAACCAAACAAAAAUCCCUGCUCUCAGAGAGGAAGGUAAACAAGGAAGGAAGAUGUAGGAUGUAGCAAACAGUGACAGGUGCUAAGGCACAGGACCUAGCUGUGGGUUCUAGAAAAUUGCCCCCAGCAUUAUGUAGUAUUCUGCAUGGGCCCCAAGGAAAAGGGAGUUAGGGAGUUAGUGGCUGGGGUGGGGGGUAGGAGGGCAGGUUGCUAUUUUAAGUAAAAUAGAGA
Molecule: long non-coding RNA, 921 nt
Filed under: Ictidomys tridecemlineatus (thirteen-lined ground squirrel)
Lineage: Eukaryota; Metazoa; Chordata; Mammalia; Rodentia; Sciuridae
Description: lncRNA (ENSSTOG00000030361.1)
Source: RNAcentral